GACUUUUUGAAAACUUUGUGUUUUUUUUUUGAGAUUUAUUUUUUUUGUAAUUUUUCUGAACCGGAAGCUUUUUAGAACCUUUCGGGACUAUUCGUUUAAAUUUUCGGAACCGGAAUUUUAAAGAAAUUUUUUGAUUCUCCCGCAUUUUUCCGGGUCUUUCGUUAUUUUUUAUUAACUUUUCUGGAUUUCUGGGAAGUUUCCGAAUUUUUUUCGAGGUUUUUUGGAUUCGCUUUUUUGGAGCUUUUCGGUUCUUCUGGCAGGUUGUGAAAUCUUUUGUGUUAAUUUUUUCGGAUUUUUUAUUUUUGUAAAUUUCGGUUUAGUAGGACUUCGCCGAAUUUCUCUGGAACUUUAAGGUGCAAAAGUUUAGUUUAGUUUGGUUUACAUACAUUCAAAACAGGAAAGGCAAAUUACCAGUUGUGCUCAGUAAAAAAGUAUCCAUAAUCGGCUUUCUAACAAAAAAAUACUGAAUGUCUAAACGUUACUAAAACGUUUUUUAUGUUUUUAUUAUAAAAGGUACUUGCAAAAUUACAAAAUAUUUUAUUCAGAAUUUUAAUUUAACCUAACUUUUAAAAGAAAAUGCUCUAAAAUUACAUGCAAAUAUGACCGAAUAAAGCUUCACUUCACAAAAACGAAUAGUUUCUCGACUUUUUUGUUAAGAAGUUUAAUUUUAUUAGUAAAAAAAAUAUGGU
Long non-coding RNA from Rhagoletis zephyria (snowberry fruit fly), 689 nucleotides. RefSeq lists it as uncharacterized. Lineage: Eukaryota; Metazoa; Arthropoda; Insecta; Diptera; Tephritidae. The record is from RefSeq and is a predicted model, not a curated record.